RNAcentral lists this ribosomal RNA (568 nucleotides) under Alteromonas simiduii. RNAcentral describes it as "bacterial SSU rRNA". It matches the Rfam family "Bacterial small subunit ribosomal RNA", at positions 162 to 731 of the family's 1533-position model. The record is from RNAcentral. Lineage: Bacteria; Pseudomonadati; Pseudomonadota; Gammaproteobacteria; Alteromonadales; Alteromonadaceae.
GCUAAUACCGCAUAAUGUCUUCGGACCAGACGGGGCUUCGGCUCCGGCGCAAAGAGAGGCCCAAGUGAGAUUAGCUAGUUGGUAAGGUAACGGCUUACCAAGGCGACGAUCUCUAGCUGUUCUGAGAGGAAGAUCAGCCACACUGGGACUGAGACACGGCCCAGACUCCUACGGGAGGCAGCAGUGGGGAAUAUUGCACAAUGGGGGAAACCCUGAUGCAGCCAUGCCGCGUGUGUGAAGAAGGCCUUCGGGUUGUAAAGCACUUUCAGUUGUGAGGAAAAGUUAGUAGUUAAUACCUGCUAGCCGUGACGUUGACAACAGAAGAAGCACCGGCUAACUCCGUGCCAGCAGCCGCGGUAAUACGGAGGGUGCGAGCGUUAAUCGGAAUUACUGGGCGUAAAGCGCACGCAGGCGGUUUGUUAAGCUAGAUGUGAAAGCCCCGGGCUCAACCUGGGAUGGUCAUUUACAACUGGCAGACUAUAGUCUUGGAGAGGGGAGUGGAAUUCCAGGUGUAGCGGUGAAAUGCGUAGAUAUCUGGAGGAACAUCAGUGGCGAACGCGACUCCCUG